AUUUAGGGUUUAGGGUUUAGAGUUUAGGGUUUAGGGUUUAGAGUUUAGAGUUUAGGGUUUAGGGUUUAGAGUUGAGGGUUUAGGGUUUAGGGUUUAGAGUUUAGGGUUUAGGGUUUAGAGUUUAGGGUUUAGGGUUUAGAGUUGAGGGAUGAGGUUUUGGGGAUAAGAUUUCAAAUUUUGAAAAAUAAAAAAAUUAAAAUUUUCAAAGGAUAAACUUAGAAAGGUGCUAUUUUGGUCAUUUUAGUUUUUGAAUGCUAUUUUUGUGAUAUAAACUUAGAAAUGUGCUAUUUUGGAGAUUUGCCCAAAUAUAUAAACUAAAACAAAAUAAACUUUAAUUAAUAAUCCCUCUCCUCUUUUCUUAUUGGUUGAAACAAAGCAUCACACGGAUCACGUUUAUAACCAUCCGAUGCGUCAUCUCCUUCCCUUACACGUGUCUUCAUCUCAUCUCAUCUCCUCUUCUUUAUCUCUUUUUUCUUCUUUCUUUGUCUCACGAGAAUCCACAAUCUCUUUCAAUCUCAUCAUCUCUGAUCUCUUCUUCUGUAUUCAUCAUUCUUCUUCGCUGACAAACCGACGACCUUACGAAGAAGCUCAUGAAGCCCACGACAGCGACGACGACCGCCUACUCUCCGCCUCGACUCCGUGACCCCUCUAUUCCUCUCCUCUGCUCCGUCACGUCUCUCUUAUCUGCUCCAUGACACGUCCUCUCCUCCUCUGCUCGAUCACGCCCCCUCUCCUCGUCUGCUCCGUAAUGGCUCCUCUCGUCCGCGAAGUUCCUUGCUCGCGUGGCGGCUGGAGAAACAAAUGAAGUUUAUGUUAGGUUUAGCUCCCGUAUGCUAACAACAGCGGCUUAGAUUUAAGUUUUGAUUUAUUUUCUUGACCAAAUAGUUUGUCUUUGAUUUAGUUUUUCUUUUUGUAUUUAUGUAAUUAUGUAUAGCCGUCUGUCUUUUAAUUUAAACCAGUUUAUUAUAUAAAAAUCAUUUUAAAUUUUAA
This 990-nucleotide long non-coding RNA is filed under the name Brassica napus (rape). RNAcentral's name for it is "long non-coding RNA (BNAP_LNC012061)". Lineage: Eukaryota; Viridiplantae; Streptophyta; Magnoliopsida; Brassicales; Brassicaceae. The record is from RNAcentral.